This 19-nucleotide small RNA is filed under the name Arabidopsis thaliana (thale cress). RNAcentral describes it as "ATSL049410". The record is from RNAcentral. Lineage: Eukaryota; Viridiplantae; Streptophyta; Magnoliopsida; Brassicales; Brassicaceae.
UGUUUUUUGUAUUUUUUUU